RNAcentral lists this ribosomal RNA (301 nucleotides) under uncultured bacterium. Its description in RNAcentral is "partial 16S ribosomal RNA". It matches the Rfam family "Bacterial small subunit ribosomal RNA", at positions 509 to 807 of the family's 1533-position model. The record is from RNAcentral.
CAGCCGCCACGGGAAUACGAAGGGUGCAAGCGUUAAUCGGAAUUACUGGGCGUAAAGCGUGCGUAGGCGGUUUGUUAAGUCUGCUGUGAAAUCCCCGGGCUCAACCUGGGAAUGGCAGUGGAUACUGGCAAGCUAGAGUGUGUCAGAGGAUGGUGGAAUUCCCGGUGUAGCGGUGAAAUGCGUAGAGAUCGGGAGGAACAUCAGUGGCGAAGGCGGCCAUCUGGGACAACACUGACGCUGAGGCACGAAAGCGUGGGGAGCAAACAGGAUUAGAUACCCCCGUAGUCCCUGUCUCUUAUAC